Molecule: non-coding RNA, 99 nt
Filed under: Nitratireductor aquibiodomus
Lineage: Bacteria; Pseudomonadati; Pseudomonadota; Alphaproteobacteria; Hyphomicrobiales; Phyllobacteriaceae
Description: Glycine sequence
Rfam family: Glycine riboswitch aptamer
About the family: This family represents the bacterial glycine riboswitch. Glycine riboswitches usually consist of two metabolite-binding aptamers domains with similar structures in tandem.
Source: RNAcentral
UGCCUGUCUGCGGGAGAGAUCCAAACCGGAUAGAACCGGGGCGGACGCCGAAGGGGAAAUCGCCCGAAAUCUCUCAGGCAAAAGAACCGUAGACGGGUC